RNAcentral lists this unclassified non-coding RNA (329 nucleotides) under plant metagenome. RNAcentral describes it as "partial contains 5.8S ribosomal RNA, internal transcribed spacer 2, and large subunit ribosomal RNA". The stretch from base 1 to 105 matches the Rfam family "5.8S ribosomal RNA", at positions 50 to 154 of the family's 154-position model. The record is from RNAcentral.
GAAAUGCGAUAAGUAAUGUGAAUUGCAGAAUUCCGUGAAUCAUCGAAUCUUUGAACGCACAUUGCGCCCUCUGGUAUUCAGGGGGGCAUGCCUGUCCGAGCGUCAUUGCGAACCCCUCAAGCACGGCUUGUGUGAUGGGCCCUCCCGCGUCUUGGUCGUCAAGACGGGCCCGAAAUGCAGUGGCGGCUUCGCGGUUAUCCGAUCAGCCAGAGCGUAUGGGGACUUUCUCUCUGUCACACGCCCGCGGCGCGGACCGACGCCUGUCGACCUUCAUUCAUCGUUUUCUCGGUUGACCUCGGAUCAGGUAGGGAUACCCGCUGAACUUAAGC